UUGAUCCUGGCUCAGGAUGAACGCUAGCGGCAGGCCUAACACAUGCAAGUCGAGGGGUACAGGGGAGCUUGCUCCCGCUGACGACCGGCGCACGGGUGCGGAACGCGUAUGGAACCUGCCCCUGUCAGAGGAAUAGCCCAUGGAAACGUGGAUUAAUGCCUCAUGGUAUUGUGAAGUUGCAUGAUUUUACAAUUAAAGAUUUAUCGGACAGGGAUGGCCAUGCGUAUCAUUAGCUAGUUGGGGAGGUAACGGCUCACCAAGGCGACGAUGAUUAGGGGCCCUGAGAGGGGGAUCCCCCACACUGGUACUGAGACACGGACCAGACUCCUACGGGAGGCAGCAGUGAGGAAUAUUGGACAAUGGUCGGAAGACUGAUCCAGCCAUGCCGCGUGCAGGAAGACGGCCCUACGGGUUGUAAACUGCUUUUCUACAGGAAGAAAGGUUCCCUUGCGAGGGAGAUUGACGGUACUGUAGGAAUAAGGACCGGCUAACUCCGUGCCAGCAGCCGCGGUAAUACGGAGGGUCCGAGCGUUAUCCGGAAUCAUUGGGUUUAAAGGGUCCGUAGGUGGGGUUCUAAGUCAGAGGUGAAAGGUUGCAGCUCAACUGUAGAAUUGCCUUUGAUACUGGAGCUCUUGAGUUAUGUUGCUGUGGCCGGAACAUGUGGUGUAGCGGUGAAAUGCAUAGAUAUCACAUAGAACACCGAUUGCGAAGGCAGGUCACAAAGCAUACACUGACACUGAGGGACGAAAGCGUGGGGAGCGAACGGGAUUAGAUACCCCGGUAGUCCACGCCGUAAACCGAUGGAUACUAGCUGUAGGGUUUUCGG
RNAcentral lists this ribosomal RNA (826 nucleotides) under uncultured organism. RNAcentral's name for it is "bacterial SSU rRNA". It matches the Rfam family "Bacterial small subunit ribosomal RNA", at positions 13 to 834 of the family's 1533-position model. The record is from RNAcentral.